Long non-coding RNA from Anser cygnoides (Swan goose), 1652 nucleotides. NCBI's taxonomy places the organism in Eukaryota, Metazoa, Chordata, Aves, Anseriformes, Anatidae. The record is from Ensembl.
UGGCAGCAGUGGGGGGAAAGAGAACCUCUAAAAUCCAUAAAUCAGAUGCCUCUCAAAUUGUGUGGGAUUAAGGAAAAGGUGUGGAAUAGAAAUAAUUUCCUUGGGGGAAACUAUAUCAUUUCAUUUGCCCAGGAAAAUAGUACACAUUCAUCAUGUGUGUCUUCCAGAGACUUUAAAAAGAAUUAAAUGUGGGGUCGGAUUAAAUGAGAGGUCGGAGGAUGCAAUUAUGAGCGUGGUUUCUCUGGGGGCAAAGUGGGAGGAAGAAAUUCCCCUCCUGCCCCACGUCCCAGCAUUUUGUACUUGCCCUAAUGCUGAAGUUCACUGCCUCUGUUGUUGUGUUGUCCCCCCACCCUGCUCCCUAAAAUGCACAUGCAGAAUGAAACACUGGAAUAGGCCAGAUACCAAAACCUGGCAAGGAGCAGCUUAUUAUUAGUUUUUAAUCCAGAUCCCACCCAUUGUGGGAUCCCAUCCAGUGGAAGCAGAAUGUCUCCAUCUGGCUUUGCUGCCAAAGAACGUUUCCACGCCCCAAGCCCGGAGUCAGCCUGCAAUUGGUGGUGUUUGGCAAUGGGUCCGUGGUGACAGUCCUGGAGAGGGACAGGAGCUGAAGCCAGCAUUCCCUGUGCUGAGGUUGGUUUGUUGUCACCCCCCUCGUGUCCUGGGCACACCAUGGAGCCUGAUGCUGGCCUGGGGACCAUGCUGUGCCCCAUCUACAGCUGGCUGGUGGGAUCUCCAUGCAGUGAGGUUGGCAGGACCUCCAUGCAGCGUGGCUGGUGGGAUGUCCAUGGAGUGUGUUUAGCUGGACCUCUCUGCAGUGUGGUUGUUGGGACCAACAUGAAGCAUGGUCACAGGGCACACGGACAGCCCAGAGCCACCUCCCCAUACUGCCACGCUGGAAAAAGUGGGACAAGGAAGGCAAGCAAGAGUGAAGUUAAUGGGACAGAGAUCUUCCAGCAACCUUUCUGAUCUCAGAUGAGGAGCUUGGGCUGUGACGUACCCUGUGAACCAGGUAAGGCGCAUUCAGCAGAACUUGCUUUUCAAUGUACAUAUUAGCAGUAUAUUUGCAAUGUAAAUUAAUAAGUGCCAUCUGCUUACCUCUGAUGUUAUGAGAAUGUUGUCUUGUGACUGGCUACAAACAAGACAACAUUGAAGAGGUAACACCUGCUGGUACAUAUUACUGCAAUUUAUUUUCAAACAUUAGAAGAUUAUUUUGGAUGGGAGAAAUAGGUAUAAUCUCCUCUUGCUGUGUAUUAAGUGCUAAUGAGAGGCACGUGUGUAGAUUGCCAGACGACAUUGUCGAGGAAUAGGCAGUAAGGAUGGAGCAAACGGCAUCUGAGGGCAGCGGGAAGGAAGCCGUACCUCUGCAGCUUGCCCGCAGCUCGCCCCCGACUGCUGGGAGAUUCAAGGGGAUGUUUAGCUGUGAAAAGUCACUGCUUGUCAAGUGUAAAGCUUGCUGUAAGAGUAUCUUGAUUUCAGGCAAAAGUGCCCUGUAGGAAAAAAAAAAGUCGAAACAUCCCUUUUUAGCCUUUGGGGAUGGGACGGUUGAAUUUUCACUUCAAAAUCACAGCCUACUUUUGAAAUGGAAAUUAUUUUAGUACUGAGGCAGAGACAAAAUCUUUCAAUUUUAGCAAAAUAAAAUCUUUUAUUUGACCCCA